CAGAGCUGGGUGAUGAUGUGAAAUACCUUUUCCCAUAGUUACGGACCGGGUUGAUGGCUGGAAAGGACAUUUUCCCAUUGUUAAAGGAUAGAGGGUCCGGUUAGCCCCGACCAUUAUCCGUUUCGAAUUCAUCAGCUCAAAGACGCUUGCCCGCUCCAUCAAAACUCCGUAAGUUUUCCCGCCAUGUGUAGAUCAAUCGUUCCUGCCUGUAAAUUCUGGGUAUGCCCACAUCAUUAAUUAAUAAGAUGUGUAGAAAACUGUUUAGCCAUAGUUAAAGGCCUUUCAUAAAGAGGCUGUCAUGAUUGCCUGUGCCACA
Molecule: long non-coding RNA, 316 nt
Organism: Oncorhynchus tshawytscha (Chinook salmon)
Lineage: Eukaryota; Metazoa; Chordata; Actinopteri; Salmoniformes; Salmonidae
Exons: 3
Source: RefSeq, a predicted model, not a curated record